GCUAAUACCGCAUAACAACUUGGACCGCAUGGUCCGAGUUUGAAAGAUGGCUUCGGCUAUCACUUUUGGAUGGUCCCGCGGCGUAUUAGCUAGAUGGUGAGGUAACGGCUCACCAUGGCAAUGAUACGUAGCCGACCUGAGAGGGUAAUCGGCCACAUUGGGACUGAGACACGGCCCAAACUCCUACGGGAGGCAGCAGUAGGGAAUCUUCCACAAUGGACGAAAGUCUGAUGGAGCAACGCCGCGUGAGUGAAGAAGGGUUUCGGCUCGUAAAACUCUGUUGUUAAAGAAGAACAUAUCUGAGAGUAACUGUUCAGGUAUUGACGGUAUUUAACCAGAAAGCCACGGCUAACUACGUGCCAGCAGCCGCGGUAAUACGUAGGUGGCAAGCGUUGUCCGGAUUUAUUGGGCGUAAAGCGAGCGCAGGCGGUUUUUUAAGUCUGAUGUGAAAGCCUUCGGCUCAACCGAAGAAGUGCAUCGGAAACUGGGAAACUUGAGUGCAGAAGAGGACAGUGGAACUCCAUGUGGUAGCGGUG
Molecule: ribosomal RNA, 536 nt
Filed under: Lactiplantibacillus paraplantarum
Lineage: Bacteria; Bacillati; Bacillota; Bacilli; Lactobacillales; Lactobacillaceae
Description: bacterial SSU rRNA
Rfam family: Bacterial small subunit ribosomal RNA
Source: RNAcentral